Molecule: long non-coding RNA, 24572 nt
Filed under: Gossypium barbadense (sea-island cotton)
Lineage: Eukaryota; Viridiplantae; Streptophyta; Magnoliopsida; Malvales; Malvaceae
Description: long non-coding RNA (GBAR_LNC005444)
Source: RNAcentral
GAACAAGGAAAUACCCUUUUCCAUUUUCUCAACAACUAGAUUAAAACGAAGAAUCGAAAUAGAUUCUAAGCGAGACAAACAAAAAAGGGGUUAGAGACCACUCAAUAAAAGAAUGCCUAAGGUUUUUUUUUGAGCAUUUUGAGAGUUAUUUGACUUGAGUUAUGAGAGUACGAAUGCUUUUUUCUUCUUUUUUUUUCGAAAAAAAAGACGAGGUUAAAUGUCUAAUUGAUUUGCUGGUUUAUGGAUCUUUUUGACAUGCUAAUUCCAUACAUUAUAAUUCCAUACAUAGACAUAACUUUAAAUUAAUCAUUUUUUUCUCGAGCCGUACGAGGAGAAAACUUCUUAUACGUUUCUAGGGGGUAUUAUUUAACUACAUCUAUCCCAAUGAGCCGUUUAUCGAAUCGUUGCAAUUGAUGUUCGAUCCCGAAGAGAGGGAAGAGAUCUUCGAAAAGUGGGCUUUUAUGAUCCGAUAAAUAAUCAAACCUAUUUAAAUGUUCCCGCCAUUCUCUAUUUCCUUGAAAAAUAAGUAUUAUCUUAAAGCUUGAGAUUUGCAAAUUUGACAUCAAAACCAUAAUUUUUUGUGAGAUUUUGAGUCUUUAGCGCAUACAUUAUUCAUGCUCAUUAUAUUAUUGGUUAUGAGUGUGUCAACAUGAUUUAUUAUUCUAGAAUUUGCUUUGAUUAUGCUUGUCAAGACCACACCUUUGAUUUGAUAUACUGAGAUGAUAGACACUUAGGUUUAACCCACUUAUCCGGUAAAAAGCCUACCUUUUGAAUUAACCCUUAGUGAAUGCCAUUGAGCCUAACACUCCUUUUCUUGAUUAACCCAUGAAUUUUAACCCAUAACCCAUUUUUUGUUGUGACUCUUUCCCGUUUUAUUGACUCCCUUUUUAUUGAGGUUUGACUUGGUUAGUUGCCUAACUAUGUUCCUUUGUUUGAAUUGCUGAAUUUUCUUUCUUGAUUCUUGUUCAAAAUUUUAAAAAAAAACUUAUUGAGUAUUAAUUAGUUUUAUGUUGAUUGAGCUUGAACAAUUAAAUUCAUAUUUUAAGAAGAAACUCAUUUUUUUAUUCCUAUUUAUUCUUGAUUGAUGCACUUGUUUUUAAUUCAGCAUUCGUUUAUUUUUUCUAGUUUGAUAAUUUAUCAACUUGAUCUAGAUUAUUACCAACUUUUCUGGCUUUUUUCCACACCCUUUAACCUAAGCCCCAUCACAACCUUUUAAAUACUUUUUGAUUGGUGUGUCAUAUCAUUUUAUAGUGGUGGAGAUUUGAUUUUCAAGCAAGCUUAUGGUAAUGAUAUUUCGUACUCGACUGUUGAGUGCUUAAUUCUUGAACCUUAAACACUUUGAGUGCUUUGAGUGAAUCUUUAGUGAGGAUGUCAAUUCUUGUUGAUUUUGAAUUAAAGGUAACAACUUAAAUAAGGGGAGACACCUAUAUUUUCGUGCUUUAAAAAUUUCGAAUUGGAUUGUUUGAAUCUUUAGUGCCCUUUUAGUUGAAUUGCCAAUGCAUAAUUAUUUGCAAAUUAUUCUGAGAUAUUAUUGAAUAGAAUUACAAGUUGAGAAAGAUUAACUUUAUAUGACUUGAGAAUUUUUCUUGAAGACAAACAAAUGCUUAAGUGUGGGGAUAUUUGAUAAGUGAUAAAAGUAACAUAUUUUAAUCUCGUUCUUAAUGUGUCUUUGGAUGAUUAUUUAUGCAAAUUGGUGAAUUUGAUGCUCCUAAUCCUUUGAAAUGUUCCUAUACUUAUGUAAACAUUCAGGAGCAAAAUAAUCGAAAAACAAUCGAAAAUUGAAAAAAAAAGAGUAGAUUUAAGGAGUCACACGGAUUGGGCCUUCCCACAUGUGCUGGACACAUGACCGUGUGAGCCACAUGAGUUGGACAUACGGCCAUGUCACAGACCAUGUCGAUUUCACAACUUGUUUCCCAAACAUGCAGAAAAAUGUAAUUUUUAGCCUUUCUAAACAUUCUAAAGACUAUAAAUACCAAAUAGAAGAAAAGAUAAGGGAGCUAUUAGAGAAUAGGGAAGAAAACAACUCAAAAAACACCAUUGGAGCCAACUCUGAAGUAGAUAUCCAUCAAGAUUGAAGACCUCCUUUUACUUUCUUUUGAAGUUUUCAUGAGUUUCUUUAUUUCUCGUGGUUAUUCUAACUUUAAGAUGUUUUUAUUCAAAAUUACGAUGGCCAGACUAAUCAUGAGAUUCGGGUUCUGCUGGCCCACCGUAGAAAGAAAUUGCAUCAGUAUGUCGUACAUGCCAAAUUUAUGGAGAUAAGAUUCAUGUGUCCCUUCAUUUCUUCGUAAACUUUCUCUAUGUGGGGCAUGGAUGUAAUGGGGCUGAUCUCGUCAAAAGCUUCUGGCCAACACCGAUUCAUCCUCGUGGUAGUCAGUUACUUCACUAAGAGGGUGAAGAUAGCUUCAUAUUCUAAUAUUACAAGGUCGAUAGUUAUCAAAUUCAAAUUAAAAAAAACACACACAAAAAAAGAAAAAGAAGAAAAUAAAAAAAAAUAAAAAAGUAAAAAGACAACAAAAAAGGAUCGUGAAAGAUAAUCGAAACUGUAAAGAUUGGCAUAAAGAAGUUACCAUUUAUCCUCUAUGCUUAUUAAACGUCAGCCAAGGCCUUUACCAGGGCAACAGCUUGCUCAUUGGUUUAUGGAAUGAAAACGGUUUUGCCAAUUGAACUCAGUCGAAAGGAAAAGGUUAAAAACUAUCUGUCACGGUCGAAUGAUGCGAGCUCACGACAAAAAGGUUUGUCCUAGAGAAUUCCACGUGGGGGACCUGACAUUAAAAAAAUCAUUUUUUAUACAAAAGGACUUUAGAGGAAAGUGGAGUCCAAACUAGGAAAUAUCUUCUGUAGUAAAGAAUGCCUGUUCUGGAGGAGCAUUAAUUCUAGCCAAGAUGGAUGGUAAGAAACUUGUCCAAUCCUGUGAAUUCAGAUUCUGUCAAGAAGUAUUUCACCUAAAGAGGGAGAGGCCAAGGUGAAACCCCGCAAAAGGGCGCUUUGAGACCUAAAAAAAAAAAGAGAGAAGCCAAGGCGAAAAUCCGCAAAGGGCGCUUUGAGAUCAAAGGGGUUUUGAAUUGAAAACCCGUAAAGGGUAAUUUAAAUAAAAGUGGGGCAUAGAGUAGUCUUGCUAUGCUUGAAUUAACAAUAAAGAAGUAUGCUACGUCUUGGGGCAUCGACAAAAUACUCCAGAUCCCCUAAACAUAUAUUGAGCUCAGAAAGGUCCUCAAGAAGUUCGUACAGAGAAGCUCAGGCUGUGAUAUCUGGGGCACCUAGUUUUCAGCUUACCUAUAUUGAAUUUACUAUCUUUGAUUACUUUGUUCGUUGCAAAAUACGCUUCCAAUAAAUUUUCUUCUUAAUUGCAUUUGCUAUCCUUGAUUAACUUACUUGCUUCGAGCUAUGCUCCUAAUUAAUUUCCUUCCGGUCCAUUAUUAUGAUAUUUUUCAAGCAUUUUACAUUGAAGUAACGAUUAGUGGACUAAUAACACUUUCAUAAAAGGAGUUUCGCAUAUUAUUUUGGAAGCUCUUAAAUGAUACAAGAACCUGAAAUAGGACUAUUGUUUAGAACAUACCAAGCCAAAGGGUUGGAAAUAUUGGAAAAAGAUUAUUGUCUCUUUGGAAUUUUUAUUGGUUGAAUAAAAAGACAAGACAUUUUGUUCGGUGAUACCACAUCGACAAAUAACGAGCAAUGCCAACCCAAGAAUCAAGGGGGAUCAUUCUCGGAAAAAGAAAAAUGAUACUCUGCAUUCAUGAGAAUAUUAGGCAUAUACAUCUGGUCAUUACACCCAGGGAAUGGUGUAACAGAUUAAAUUGAUUGAAGAUGAUACAAAUCCUAUACCUCUGAAUUGUAGCAAGAUAGAUAGUGAACCUUAUUCCUUUGAACUUGCAGUGGGAGGUACAAACUUUAUGUCCCAAAAGGUACAGUAGAAAGGACUCUGAAAUUACAGCGAGGCAAGCUUGCUGAGCAAAAUGUGAUUGUUUCUUUGACUUUUCUGUCAAGAAUACCAGCCGAACAAGAUGGCAGUGUAAUACGUCAGUGAUAAUGUCCUGAUGAAUAACGAGCGAUGAUACCUUAAGCAUUUAAAAAAGGAUCAUUCUCAUUUCUGCAUUCAUAGAUCAUUCAUAACACAUCUAGUUAGGAGCAUUUGAUUCAUUCCGAUCAUAUUUUCUAAUCAUUUGGCAUAAGCAUAGGUACAUGAAACCGAUUCUACAGAUCAUAUCCCUAGAGGAUGGUGUAACAACAUUGGUGAAUUCACAGAUCUUAUCUCCCUAAGCAGUAGUGGAGCAGAUAGAAGACGGUGAGCCUUAACCCCCUAAGCAGUAGGGUAGUAGGCUGAAAAUUAUAGAUCUUAUCUCCCUAAGCAGUAGCGGAGCAAAUCAAAGAUGGUGAGCCUUAACCCCCUAAAUAGUAGGGUAACAGGCUAAAAAUUACAAAUCUUAUCUCCCUAAGCAGUAGCGGAGCAGAUCAAAGACGAUGAGCCUUUACCCACUAAGCAGUAGGGUAACAGGCUGAAAAUUACAGAUCUUAUCUCCCUAAAUAAUAGUGGAGCAAAUUGAAGAUGGUGAGCCUUAACACUCUAAACAGUAGGGAAACAGGCUAAAAAUUACAGAUCUUAUCUCCCUAAGCAGUAGCGGAGCAGAUCGAAGACGGUGAGCUUUAACCCUCUAAGCAGUAGGGUAACAGGCUAAAAAUUACAGAUAUCAUCUCCCUAAGCAGUAGUGGAGCAGAUCGAAGAUGGUGAGCCUUAACUCCCUAACCAGUAGGGUAACAGGCUGAAAAUUACAGAUCUUAUCUCCCUAAGCAGUAGCAGAGCAGAUCGAAGACGGUGAGCUUAACCCCCUAAGCAGUAGGGUAACAGGCUGAAAAUUACAGAUCUUAUCUCCUUAAGCAGUAGCGGAACAUAUCAAAGACGGUGAGCCUUAACCCCCUAAGCAGUAGGGUAACAGGCUAAAAACCACAAUUCGUAUCUCCUUGAAGUUUCAGCGGAGUAGAUCGAAGCUACAAAUCUCUUCUCCCUGAAAUGGCACUGGAGUGGCUUGAAGCCACAAUUCGUAUCUCCUUGAAGUUCUAGCGGAGUAGAUCAAAGUUACAAAUCUCUUCUCCCUUAAAUGGUACUGGAGCGACUCGAAGCCACAAUUCGUAUCUCCUUGAAGUUUCAGCGGAGUAGAUUGAAGCUACAAAUCUCUUCUCCCUGAAAUGGCACUAGAGUGGCUCGAAGCCACAAUUCGUAUCUUCUUGAAGUUCUAGCAGAGUAGGUCGAAGCUACAAAUCUCUUCUCCCUGAAAUGACACUGGAGCGACUCAAAGCCACAAUUAGUAUCUCCUUGAAAUUUCAGCGGAGUAGAUCGAAGCUACAAAUCUCUUCUCCCUAAAAUGGCAUUAGAGCGGCUCGAAGCUACAAUUCGUAUCUCCUUGAAGUUUUAGCAGAGUAGAUCGAAGUUACAAAUCUCUUUUCCCUGAAAUGGCACUAGAGCGGCUCGAAGCCACAAUUUAUAUCUCCUUGAAGUUCUAGCGGAGUAGAUCGAAGUUACAAAUCUCUUCUCCUUGAAAUUGAACUGGAGCGGCUCGAAGCCACAAUUUGUAUCUCCUUGAAGUUCCAGUGGGGUAGAUCGAAGCUACAAAUAUCUUUUCCCUAAAAUGGCACUAGAGCGGCUUGAAGCCACAAUCCGUAUCUCCUUGAAGUUUCAGUAGAGUAGAUCGAAGCUACAAAUCUCUUCUCCUUGAAAUGGCACUAGAGCGGCUCAAAGCCACAAUUCGUAUCUCUUUGAAGUUUCAGCAAAUUAGAUCGAAGCUAAAAAUCUCUUCUCCCUGAAAUGGCACUGGAGCGGGUCGAAGCUACAAUUCUUAUCUCCUUAAAGUUUCAGCGGAGGAAAUCGAAGAUACAAAGCUCUUCUCCCUGAAAUGGCAUUGGAGCGAUUGAAGCCACUAAACCUUAUCUCCCUGAAGUUGCAGUGGAACAGGUUGAAGUUACGAGUCUUAUCUCCCUGAAGUUGUAGUGGAGCAGAGUGAAGAUAGCAAAUCUUAUCCCUCUGAAGUUGUAGUAGAGUAGAUUAAAACUAUAAAUCCUAUACCUCUGAAAUUGUAGUAGGUCGGAUCAAAUCUACCUUGACAAGUCUUAUCUCCCUAAAGUUGCAGUGGAGCAGACUGAAGAUAACAAAUCUUAUUUCCCUGAAGUUGCAUUAGAACAGAGUGAAGCUAUAAAUAAAUAGCUCUUAUCUCUCUGAAGCUGUAGUAGAGAAGAUCAUAGCAAACAUUAUCUCUCUGAAGUUACAAUCGAGUGGAUCAAAGCAACAAUUCCUAUACCACUGAGGAUGCAAUGGAUUGGAAUAAAGCUACUUGAAAGAAAGAAGCAUCAAAAAAAAUCGAGGUUCGGUAGGUCUAGGCAAAUUUGGCCCUCUUAAGGUCUUUGUUCCAUUCUCGUUACAUGACAAUGAGAAAAGAGGGGCAACUGUACGGGCCCAAAUUGGUCCAGCCCUUCAAAGAGACCCAAACUCACACAUAGGCCCAAAUUUUAGACCCAACUAGCUAGAUUUAGGGUUUCAAAGAAGCUAAAACCCUAAUCAACCCCUAACGCCGCCGACGUCACAUCAUCAGUGCAAGUGGCGCACCUGUCCACUGUCUCCACUGUUGCCACCGCCAUUUACUUGCAAAAGGGAAUAGUAGAACAAUUAUUAAAGAAACAAGUUGUAAAUGGCUAUAAAAGCCAUCUAAGAAACCAUUGUAAUGGGUUCUCCUUCAACGAAUAAAUGAAAUAGAAAAAAAGAGAGAUUCAAACAUUAAAAUAGCAAAUCUACGAAACAGAUUCAGAGAGAAAAACAAGUUAUAAAAGGGUAAAGGGUUACUGUUGUUUUUUUUCUUUCCUUUUCUAUUUAUUUUCUUUUUUUUAAAUCUACUUAUAUACAUACUUCAAAAUUUUCUCUAUUUUUCUUUUAAAAAAAAUCAGUUACAUAUAAAUAGAAAAAAAUAAAAAAAUACCCUUUUUUAGAGUUCCGGCCAUCGCGUGCAUUUAUCUUUAUUUCUAUUAUGAUUGUUAAUAUCAAAAAUUUUAUUUGUUUGUUCACGAAAAUAUUAUUUGUUUGUUCAUUCUUCAUUAUUUUAUUUUAUUACGAAUUUAUGUUAUAUUAACCUUUACCUGAAAAAAAUAAUUCUUUCAUAAAAGCAAUAUUCCAUAUUUGGAAAUUCGAGAUACGAGGUUUGCAAUAUGAGUUUUGAAUAAAAUGCUAAUUCUCGGAGAUACGAGGUGUUGUGCCCUAACUUACUGGAUAUGACAUCUUGUUACCUCGAGGUAAGAAUUUUUUUUGCAAAUAAAGGCAAUAUUCGGUAUUUGAAAAUUUGAGAAAUCGUGCCCUAACUUAUUGGGUUUCAAUUUUUUUCGUUUUCCCUAAAUAAUUGAAUAUUCUUUUAAAAAAGGGUUAAAAUACAUGAAUUUUAAAUAAAAGGCAAGCUCAUUCUUGAAGGCUCGAGAUGCCGUGUCCUAACUUACUGAAUGUGACAUUUUAUUACUUCGAGAUGAGAAGGUCUUUAACAUCUGUUUCAAUUUAUUCAAUCAUUUUUUUAAUUAAUGUUAAUAUAAAGAGUGAUCGUAUUUUAAGUUUUCAAAUCUUUGACACUAAGACACAGAUUAAUCAACUAGGUACCAAUUUUGGGCGUUUCGAGGGUGCUAAUCCUUCCUCGUACGUAAUCGACUCCCGAACCCGUCUUUCUGAUUUUUGUAGACCAAAAUCGUUGUUUUGAUAAAUCAGACUGGUUAUUAAAAACAACCACUUUUCAAGAUGACCCAAUCACACCUUAGCAAAAAGAAUUGGUGGCGCCUCCUUUUUUUUCGUUUUCAUUUUCAAAAUAAAGUUUUAGAAGCUCUUUAACUCCUUUCAUGGUCGAGGCUUUGGUUUGCACACUAAAUUGGCUUCGGAAAUCUAAUGAUGCCAUCAAUUUUGAAGAUUAUGUUGAUGAACUUUAAACCAUGGAAGAUGGUAAUAUAUAAAUUUUAAUUUAUAAAAUAAGCUUUUGUGUUAUUUAUAUUAGUAAGCGUUCCCAUAAUUUAACAACACUUUUGUUUUUAAAUUUGCUAGACUUAUCCAAAAUACUCGAAGAUCAAGAAGAUAAUAUACUUAACAUCAGUUUAUAAAGUUAAAUGUUUAUUUAAUUUAUUUUUGUAAUCUUUUAUCAUUUAAUUAACUCAUUCAAUACUUUUACUAAAUGUUUCAAGAUUAUCAACAGUGUUUGAAGCACAAGAAGAAACUUAAACUAUUCUAUAAUGGUUUUUGAACUGAUGUGUUAUUGUUAUUACUUUGGUGUGUUAUUGUUGUUGGUUUAUUGGACUUUUGUUGUGUUCCUUUUUUUUUGUUUGGACUGGUGUAGGUUUCUGUUGUAUUUUAGACUUUUGCUUAUGUUUGAAGCACAAGAAGAAACUUAAAUGAUUCGAUUCAAUUUGAAUUUCAUCUCACUCGACUCUAUUCGAGAAAAUUUCAAAUUGAAUUAGGAUGAUAAAAUAAUAUUUGAAAACUCAAUUAACUCGAAAAUUUUCAAUUCGAUUCAAUCAAAUGCUCACCCUUAGCUUUAGCAACGAAUGUGACACACCGUAAUUUGGGCUCAACGAUCAGAUAGAGUAUUAGGCUAUUACACAUUGCACUUCUUUUAUAUAUUUAAUUGUAUUUUUUAAGCCUUGUUGCAUGUAUGCCGGGGUGUAGUCAAGUUAUACAUUUUUUUUUAAUUUAAAACCAAAUAAUAAUGUAAUUAGUUAAAAAAUUAAAUUCAAAUUGUAUAAAAUAUAAUCAAAUUAAACUUUAUGAAUCAUGAUAUAAUUUCUAAUUUUUUAAAUAGUUUAUUUUAGUAAGUGAAACAAUUAUAGAGAUUAAAUAAUAUAAUUGUAUUAUUAAAAAAUAAUAGAAUAAAUUAAAAAUCCAACAUCUUAAAAAGUUUAAUAAAAUAAAUUUUGUAUCUUAAUAUUCUACUUAAAUCCAUGACUUUUGUCAUCAUCUUUCAUGUUGAUAUUCUUCUUCAAUCUAUCAUUAUUUAGACCUGUCACGGUUAAUUUUUGGUUUAGUCGAUCUAUGGAUAGAUCUAAUCAUCUUCAAUUAAUAUUACACUUUUGAUGCAAUUAAUUGUUAUGGAGUUGCAAAUUAUUUAAACAAUAAUAAAAAAUUAAAGAUAUGUAUUAAAUUAUAAUUAUAAUACUAAUUAGAAAAACAAUAUACAGUAGAAAUAAAUUUAAUAAGAAAAUACAAUUAUAAACUGAAGCUUUCAAAUUACAGAAUCAUAGGGAAAAUGAAUAAAUGUAGUUUAAAACAAAUUUAGUAUAAUUAAAUAAAUGUGUGAUGAUGAUGAAUGAAUAUUAUAAGUUUAUUUCAUCAUCGAUUAAAAUGAUUUUCAUUAACUUUCUAGUGUCUUUGUCAUUUGACUACGAGUUGAAUUUUUCUUUUUGAACAAUCAUUAUUUUAGUAAUCCAUUAUUUUUUAGACACGUCAAACAUAUUAAUAAAAUAAUUUUCAUUUAUUUAAUGUUGUUAUAAUAAUAAAUCUUAAUUUUAAUUGGUAUAUAACUAUAACACUAAUUAAAUGAUAAUUGAUUAAAAAUAAAAUAUUUUUAAUAAUUAAUAUAGUCAAUUGAACAAGAACUCUAAAAAAAAUAUUUAUAUGAUUUAAUCUAUUAUUUUUAUAGAUGAUUUUAUCUAUUUCUAUUCAGGUGCCCUUAAAUGGAAGCUUGUUUGUUUAUUAUUGCUAUAUAAGGGAUUGAAAUGCUAAAAAUCAACACAAAAAAAUGAAAUUUGUUAUUUUUAGAAAAGGAUAGGAAUAACGUAAAUUUGUAGUGUAACACAGUCCUUUCGCAUUGUUGCUAUGUAUACAUGAACCACAGAAUUUCUGAAUUUCUUGACAAAGAUACGAAAAAAAAAAUAUGCAAUGCAAGUACAAAGUACCCAUCUUCGAACUUCAUCGAGGAUCUAGUUCAGAAAUGGAAGCUUCAUUGACUGAGACUUGAACGGUUUCUCGUUUAGAUUGAUUGGAGAGUGAGGAUGACUGAGACUUCGUUUCUGUCUCCAUGGUGGAAUGCAUGGAAAAUGCAGGUCUCAAUGGCACUGGAAGAGUCAUGGAAUAGCUACUAAGCAUGAGAACCACAGAGGCCAUGGUUGGUCUGUAAGCAAUAUUGUCUUGAACACAAAGCAACCCAAGAUGGAUACAUCUCAUUAUUUCAAUUCUGGAGCAAUCCCUCAGGAUUGGAUCUACUACUUCUAAAGCAGUUCCUUCACUCCAGUUUCUCCAUGCCUGCAAAAGUCGAGGAAUAUGAACUUACAUUGUGUUCUUAGCAAGUUCUAAUCCAGGAAGACCAUAACCACAGUAUGCAGCUUACAUGGGUUAGAAGAGAGUCUCCCACUUCUUGGUUGGAGAAGCUACUGAUUUUUUUACCACUAAUGAUUUCCAAAACCAGCACUCCAAAGCUGUAAACAUCGGAUUUAACUGAAUAUUGUCCAUGCCAUGCAUACUCAGGAGCCAUGUAUCCACUGCGGACAAAUAAAUCUUAAUGAAUGAAUUUAAAUGGUAGCUAAUCCUCUAGAAGAUGUGCUAAUGCUUAGGAUCUUUGAGUUUUAGAUAUCACAAAGUUAACAAAUAACAUGUAGAAACAAAUCCUUCUUAAUGCUUACUAGGUCCCAACGACUUUGCUUGUGUCAGCUCGAGUUUGAUCAACCGUAAACAAUUUCGCCAAUCCAAAAUCUGAGAUUUUAGGAUUCAUCUCUUCAUCUAAUAAUAUGUUGGCUGCUUUUAAGUCGCGAUGGAUGAUUCGGUAUUGAGAAUCUUCAUGAAGAUAAAGAAGUCCCUUAGCUAUUCCCUUUAUAAUUUUGUACCUCUUCGUCCAACUUAGUAGCAAACGCUUUACUGAAUCUGCAAUUAAUCAUGAAUUUAAUAGUAAUAACCAGAGAUUAUCAACUUUUCACCUCUAUAACAUGACUUGAGUUGCAUUCUACUACCAAAUAUAAAUUAGAGGAUUAAACCAUACCGAAUAUAAAGUUGUCAAGGCUUGAGUUAGGCAGAAACUCAUAGAUGAGAACCCUUUCUUUUUGUUCCAAGCUAAAACCAAGAAGCCUAACCAAAUUCCUGUGUUGUAGCUUCGCCAAUAACAUCACUUCAUUCUUGAAUUCUUGUUGUCCUUGUCCCGAAUUUUCAGACAGCCUCUUUAUAGCUACUUGCCGUCCAUCCUCAAGCUUACCCUGAUAGUAUUUGUAACAAAGAACAACGAUAGAAAACACCAACUUUUAUUUCCUAUUAUUUGUUGGAAGCCAUCAAACUAGAGGCUUCACUUUCAUAUAUUUAAUCAAUUUUCCAAAUCUUAAAUUACCUUAUAAACAGGACCAAAUCCACCUCGUCCCAGCAUGUUUGCAUCCGAGAAGUCUUCUGUUGCAACUCUUACUGCAUCAAAGUCAAAUUGCAACGAUUCUACACGGGUCUUGGCAUCUGCAGGUUAACAAAGAACGAAUUAGGCUUGCGGUUAACGGCCGGGAGGUCUCAUGCCCAAAAAAAAGAAAAAAAGUUAUAACAAAUGAAAACAAGAGGAAAGCACUUGCAACUUUUUUGCUAAUUUUUAUUUCCUGAAGUAUAAAACCAUGCUUAAACAUUGGAAGAAGUACAUCAAAAGAGAGUAAAGGACCAACUUACUUUGAUCAUCCUGCUUGGGUUUCGCGAUCCUUUUACGGAGAAUAGCUACUGCAAGUAUGACAAGUACUGCCACCAAGAUGACAAUUGGAACAAUUAUAAUGACUAGGGUCUGGGAUGAACGGUAGCCUCCUUCCUCUGCACAAGCAACAACUUUUCAUUUACAUCAAUUUCUUCCUGAAACCAGCAUGCCGUCUAGCAGAUCGGUAGUUACCUUUUUUGAUUGUGUUCACCGACUGUGGCGGAGGACUAGCAGCUGGGGGUGGAGGACUAACAGGUGAGGGUGGAGGAUAUAAGGAUGGGGCUGUAGUAGAGGCAUUGGGUGUAUAGAAAGGAUACAAAUCCCAGCGGAAAUAACAGCUAGGCCUCGUAACAUAACCUCCUUGCUUCCCAUGGCAACAGCUUUCAUAGUUACUCACGGAUUGCCUUAGGCAGGAAUCACAAUCCUUGUGUGAUAAAUCUGGAGUGCACUGCAUUAGCGCAUAUAUCUUUUUGAAUACAGUAAAGUCUGCUUCCCCGGUUGCAUACUUAAGAGUAGAAGAGCCGUUGGAAGCGUUUCUCACCACUGUGUCCAUCAAACUCUCCCAAACCGUAUCAAAUUCUGUUAAGUUAGAUUUGAUGUCGCCUGUAUUAUAGCCUGCCUCAGGGUUUCCUAGCUCCUCCAGGGUUCCAUAAAACGAGCGAUCUGCAUAGUGUACAUGACAUGGUUGCCCUUCCCAUGAAAGGGCUGUUGGAAACGUGAUGGGCCGAAAAUUUACUUUUUAUUACACACUCAAUAUAUUACAAUACGAAGAUUACAAAUAUUUUCUCAAUGACUAGAUAGUCUAGCUGCUGCUAGAUUUUAACUCACUCAAGGUUUGCUAACCUUCUCACUCUCACUCACGUUGCUUCUCUUAUUUCUUUUUUCUUCUCAUUUUUCUUCAUUACAACACAAGUUCAAGCCUCUAUUUAUAGGCUGAUAAAGUGACAACAAAUGUGGCUAUUAAUCCACUUAAUUUCCAGCCACAAAACAUCUCAAUAAUGGAGCACUUUGUAUGGCUAAAAUUUCAGCACUUUGCAUGGCACAAAAUUGCUCCACGUCUCAUGCUUCUAGAUUAUGCUUGGAGUGGGUUUGAUUUCUAACACUCCCCCUCAAACCCAACUUUCAUACCGAGCUUCUCUUUGAAUUUGUUGAAUGUCUCCACUUUCAACGGCUUUGUGAAAAUAUCUGCCAGUUGAUCUUCUGUCCUGCAAUGGACCAACUCCACGUUUUUGUUUUUCACUUGCUCUCGGAUAAAAUGAUACUUCGUAUCGAUGUGCUUGCUUCGGCUGUGCGACACCGGAUUCUUGGCAAGUGAUAUAGCGGAUUUGUUGUCAACGUAGAUGGUAAUUGGACCUUCAUUUGAAACACCUAUUUCUCCCAAAAUAUUCUUCAACCACAUUGCUUGGCAUGUACAAGUUGCUGCGGCCAUAUACUCUGCUUCACAUGUUGAGAGAGCAAUUGUUUGUUGCUUCUUUGACGACCAUGAAAAAACUGCGGAACUGAUGUGGAAUGCAUAUCCGGAAGUGCUUUUCCGAUCAUCCAAGUCUCCCCCAUAAUCGCUAUCUGAGUAGCCAACUAAUUUUGAAUCUUGUGAGUGGGUAUAGAAUAAACCAUGGUUCAUUGUACCUUUGAUAUAUCUCAAAAUUCUUUUUGCGGCAAUUAAGUGGUCUUGCUUCGGCUUCUCCAUGAAUCUGCUCACCAAUCCUACUGCAUAUGUAAUAUCUGGUCGUGUGAUUGUCAAAUACCUUAAACUUCCAACGAGACUUUUAAACAAUGUCGGAUUUAUCGACUCCCUUGUCGAAUCAACACUUAGCUUCAUCCCUGGAUCAGCUGGCGUGACUACUGGCUUGCAAUCCUUCAUUUUGAACUUGUUCAAAAUCUGCUCCGCAUACUUCUUUUGAGAGACAAAAAUUCCAUCUUGCAUUUGUUUCACCUCGACUCCAAGAAAGUAUGACAUCUCACCGAUAUCUGUCAUUUCAAAUUCUUUAGUCAUAGCUUUCUUGAAAUCAUCAGACAUACCUGGAUUGUUUCCGGUGAAGAUCAUGUCAUCCACAUAUAGGCAUACGAUCAUGAUAUCUCCAUAUCCAUUCUUCUUUGUGUACAGGGUGUGCUCGUGCGGGCUUUUGAUGAAUCCAUUUCUUCGGAAGUACUCGUCGAUCCUUGUGUUCCAUGCUCUUGGGGCUUGCUUCAAUCCAUACAAAGCUUUCUUCAAUCGGUAGACUUUGUCCUCCUUUCCUUGUAUGCUAUAUCCAGGUGGUUGUUCUAUGUAGACUUCCUCCUCCAAGUAGCCAUUCAGGAAUGCAGACUUGACGUCCAUCUGAUAGAUUUUCCAUUUGUAUUGUGCUGCGACCGCUAUGAGAAGCCUAAUUGUGUCUAUUCUUGCGACUGGAGCAAAUAUUUCAUCAUAGUCCACUCCUUGUCUUUGCUUGUAGCCUUUGGCGACUAGUCUUGCCUUGUAUUUCUCUACUUUUCCUUCUUUGUUGGUCUUCGUCUUGUACACCCACUUGACACCAAUCGGGCUAUGUCCUUCUGGCAGACUUGUUAGCUCCCACGUGUCAUUCAUUCUUAUUGCAGCAAUCUCCUCGUCCAUGGCCUUCUUCCAUUUAUUGUUUUCAAUUGCUUCUUCGUAUGUCACUGGAUCACAUUCUGUCAUUAGACAGAAUAGUGAAUAAUCAAACUGCGUCUCUACAGGUUCCGUAGAAUUGUAGAUGUCGUUGAGACUCCGUGUUCUUGUGGGUGCUUCAUCUGAGCUGCUGCUUCCGCUGCUGCUGGUUGGUGACGAAGGGGCUGUUGUACCAGGACUUUGAUCAUCGCCUUGUUCUUCUUGGUUGAUGACAUCAUUGUCGUCUUCGUUGAAAAAUAAUCCUUCCACUUUCUUUUCUUCUUCACUCCAUCUCCAGUAAUCCGCUUCAUCGAACUCGACAUCUCUUGAGAUAAUCAAUUUCUUAGUAAGAGGAUUAUAAAGUCUGUAGGCCUUACUUCUUUUGUCAUAGCCUAUAAAGAUACACUUCUCUCCUCUAUCGUCAAGCUUUUUCCUCUGUUGCUCAGGAACGUGUGCAUAUGCAAUGCAUCCAAAAAUUUUGAGGUGUCCAACUCUUGGCUUGUGACCGCUCCAUGCUUCUUCUGGUGUCUUGUGUCUUACACUUUUUGUUGGACAUUGAUUCAACAGAUAAACUGCGCAUUCAACGGCUUCAGCCCAGAAAGUUCUCGGAAGGUGUUUACCUUUUAUCAUGCUUCUUGCCAUAUCCAGAAUUGUCCGAUUCUUCCUUUCUGCAACUCCGUUUUGUUGUGGAGUGCGUCUGGCUGUUAACUGAUGAAUGAUUCCAUGAUCCUUGCAGAAACUUUCAUAAAGCUUUGCAGUAUACUCGCCUCCUCUAUCGGAUCUGAGUAUCUUCAAAUAUCGACCACUCUGUUUUUCCACCAUUGCUUUGAACUCCUUGAAUUUUUCUAGGGCUUCCGAUUUUGCUUUGAGAAAAUAAACCCAACAUUUUCUGCUAUAAUCAUCAAUAAAAGUUAGGUAGUACCUGUUUCCACCGAGUGAUUCAAUGUCGUACGGACCAGAUAUGUCGGUGUGUACAAUUUCCAAUGGUCUUCUAGCUCUUCGAGAUUUUCCUACUUCAAAUUUCUGCCUAUGCUGCUUUCCUUUGACACAGGCUUCACACAGUUGAUCUGGAUGAUUAAUACUUGGUAAUCCAUUCACCAUAUUUGUCUUCGACAACAGCUUCAAGCCAGAAAAUCCGAGAUGUCCGUACCUUAAGUGCCACAACCAUGAUUCAUUCUUCAGAUCCGUCUUCAUGCAUUUUACUUCUCCAGACUCGAUGUCGAGGGUGAAAAGACGAUUUCGCGUCAUAUCAACUCGAACAACUAAUUCUCCACUUUUGUUCCUGAUGGCGAGUGAGCGGUCUUUCAUAUGAACUUCAUAUCCUUUUUCUAGGAGUUGACCAAGACUGAUCAGGUUGCUCUUCAAAGCUGGUACGUAGUAAACGUCUGAGAUGUACUUCUUCUCUCCAUUCCUUUGUGUUAUAACAACCUUGCCCUUUCCUUUGAUUUCUGCAUGUGAGUUGUCUCCAAAAGUUAUUUGUCCAUGAACUGUUUCAUCUAAUUCUGUGAACAGCUCCUUUCUUCCACACAUGUGGUUGCUUGCACCGUUGUCGAGAUACCACACACUUCUCUUGCGAUCUUCAUUUUCUCCGUAAGUGAGAAAGACACUUGAUUCCACUUUUUCGUUUCCUUCUGCUGCGACUGCUACAUGGUUUCUUUCAUCCACUUUGUGUGUUGAUCUGCACUCGUAACUGAAAUGUCCAUACUUGUUACAGUUGUAGCAUUGUACCUGAGAUUUAUUUUCUUGAAAUCUGCCUCGGCCACGACCUCUAGAUCCACGUCCACGGUUGGAUGUUUGAUAAUCUUUAUUUUCUUGAUAUCUCCCAUAUGAUUGAUUUCCACGUCCUCGUGAUCCUCUUCCUCCUCUGUUUCCACCACGGUAGCCUCCACGGUAUCCUCUGCGGUUUCCUCUUCCUUGGUUAAAGUUAUUACUUGUUUCUCCGUCGUCGACGGACAACUUGCUAUGCAAGGCUUGAUCAAGAUUUUCACUAUCUUCAUUUAGCUUCAUCUUUUGCUCAUGGGCUUGCAGAGAACCCACAAGUUCUUCGAGCGACAUCUUUGACAAAUCUUUUGAUUCUUCGAUGGCAACGACUACGUACUCGAAUUUGCGUGUGAGUGACCGUAGAAUUUUCUCCAUCACUCUUACCUCGUCAAGAGUUUCUCCAUUUCGUUUCAUUUCAUUUACCACCGAUUUUACACGAUUGGCAUAGUCAUCGAUAUUCUCGGAGCUCUUCAUUUUUAACAUUUCAAAUUCAGCUCUAAGUGACUGAAGGCGUACCUUUUUAGCUUUUUCUACACCUUGAAAUGAUUUUUGCAAAAUCUCCCAUGCAUUCUUCGCGUUCUUCACAUCUGAUAUUUUCUCGAAGGUUGAUUCAUCCAUACCUUGAAAGAUACUAUUCAAGGCCUUUUGAUCCUUCUUUCGUGCUUCUCGUAACGCCUUCUUAGCGUCAUUUGAUAAAGCUGCUUCUGUAGCGGCAUCUCCGGGCUCGAUGUAUCCUUUUUCAACGAUCUCCCAACAAUCUUGCGAACCGAGCAAAACCUUCAUUCGAAUGCUCCAAUUUCCAUAAUUUGUCUUCGUCAAUUGUGGAACUUGUAGCUGAAUUACGUCGCCCAUAUCGACUUGUUAGAUGAACACCAAAGGUACUCCGAACUGGACACGAACCGGACACGAACCGAACUCCGAACCAAGCUCCGAACCGUAGCUCUGAUGCCACUUGUUGGAAACGUGAUGGGCCGAAAAUUUACUUUUUAUUACACACUCAAUAUAUUACAAUACGAAGAUUACAAAUAUUUUCUCAAUGACUAGAUAGUCUAGCUGCUGCUAGAUUUUAACUCACUCAAGGUUUGCUAACCUUCUCACUCUCACUCACUUUGCUUCUCUUAUUUCUUUUUCUUCUCAUUUUUCUUCAUUACAACACAAGUUCAAGCCUCUAUUUAUAGGCUGAUAAAGUGACAACAAAUGUGGCUAUUAAUCCACUUAAUUUCCAGCCACAAAACAUCUCAAUAAUGGAGCACUUUGUAUGGCUAAAAUUUCAGCACUUUGCAUGGCACAAAAUUGCUCCACGUCUCAUGCUUCUAGAUUAUGCUUGGAGUGGGUUUGAUUUCUAACAAGGGCUUCCUUCUGGUUGGGACAGCUAGCUACGAGGUCGUGGAUUGUAGAAUUGACACAUUUAUAACAAUCGUCAGGACUAGAGUCUCCUCUGCACAUACCAAGAGCGUAAACUUUGUCGGCGUUUUGGCCAACAUUGGCAGUGAAGAAACCACCUUUUGCAGAGACAUUCGGUGGGAGAGAAGCAAGAAUAAGGUCCCGAUUUUUACCAUAGGUACUAUUUAUGGUGAAAUUACCAGUGUCAUAGCAUCUUAUGAAAGCCUCAACAAGACUGAUGCUGAUAAGCAGAUGGGAGAAAAUUGAAGAAAUAUUUGUAAGUUUAACCCACAUUUUGAGGUUUUAUAAAUUGAAGGAAAGGAAACCCAAAAGAACGAAGUGGGAACUUAUUAUUCCAGAUUUUUCAUGGCAGAGAAGAGAUGGGGGAUUGAGUUGGAGAAGGAGUCAAAUAGCACUCAUUGAAGCAAAAGUCUUGAAGCUUUUAAAAGUCAAACGAAACUUGGUCUGUAAUGCUUCAGUCUCUCACCUACGUCUAGUUAAUGGUAAAUAUUGUUUUAAUUGAGAAAUUAAACUAUUUUAUUUUAUUUUAAGUUGAUUUAAGUGUAAUUGUAUGUAAUUUUUUAUUUGAUUUAAUUUUUAUAAAUUAUUAACAUAAUUAUUGAUAUAACAUAAUUUUAUAUUUAUAUAUUGUAUAUAUAAAUAAUUAUAUUUAUCUAAUAUAAAAAUAAAUUAAUGUAUUUAUUUCUUUAAAUAUGUUUGACUAAAUUUUUACCAUACAUUUGAACCAUAAUUUAAUUUUCAUGUGUAUAAUUAUACUAAAUUAAAAUUCAUAAAUACAAUUACAUAUUAAAUUAAACUUAAUUUAUAAUUUUAAGAUUUAUCCCUUUUAAGUUUUUAUAUUAUUACUAAUUGCAAAUUAUUUGCUGCAUUAUGACAUAUAUUUUAAAUAAGUAGUUUACAAAAGUAUAUGUGUAGUACAUUUAUUAUUCUGAAUAAGAUGUAUUUAACCAUUUAAUUUUUUUAUUUAAAUUUAAACUAAUUUAUUUAUUUUAAUUUCAUACGUAUUGCAUAUAUGUUUAGUAUUAAUUUCAAAUUAAAAAUUUUAUUAUUUAAUAAAUAUUAUUUUCACUAUACUUACUUUUAUUCUAAAUACAUUCUACGUGUAUACAUAUAUGAUAAAAUUACUAAUUAACAUAAUUUUUCUAAUUAAAUGUGGUGUCACGUUGAAAAGUUAUAAAAUAAGCUUUUCUUAUUUUGAAAACAAUAAAAAAAAUGUAGAGUGCAAUGUUAUCUAACAUAAAAUCUUAAAUAUUUUUAUUAAUAAUGUUUAAUAUUUAGAGUUAUUUAAAUUAUAAAUUUUUUUAUUUUUCUAAACAUUCUAGGUUUUUACAUUUUAAAUCUACAUUUAUUUUAUUAUUUAAGUAUUCGUUUGAUAACUUAUUCAAAAAAAUUUAAUUCAUUGAAAGUUAAUAAUUUCAAAAUAGUUUAAUCUUUUGAAUGUCCUCGCUCGUUUUGGUGUGGAGGUGAAUGAUAACGAGGCCUUAGGGGGUCUCCCAAAAAAAUUUGACAAUUCUUUUUAGACUUUAAAAAUAUAAUAAAUUAGAGUUAGGCAUUGAACAUACUAUACUACGUGCCCGUUAUAGGCCAGUUUUUGAGAAUCAUUGAGCUAGUUAAUACAGUAGAUUGUGAUGGGACUCUAGCCCUACUUUGCAUAUGGAAAGUAUUGAUAAUUUGAUUUUAUUUGAACCACAUAUAAGACAAUAAGUAAGAAUGAUGGUUUUCAGAAUAUUCAAACCUUAUCGAGGAAGUAUGGCCGAAAUUGAAACCUCAUUUUGGAGGUUGGGUUUUGGAAUCACGAGAGUUACUAAUUGUGUAUUACCAUUUUGUAACGAGAUACUUCCAUGUUUCUUCCUUUAGGAGGUUGAAGUUGAGAGAUAAUAAAGUCCAAGGAACUUGUCUUUCGGGUUUUCUUUUUUGACUUGGUCGAAAUCAAAGUCUACCUUGAGAGUAGCAAAGUGGUGAAAUUAAUUGUAUCCAAGAAAAAGGAAACGAAAAUUGUACCUUCUCAUCCAUACUCAUUGAAAAGUCAGUUUUGAACAAAUAGACUCGUUUUUGCUGCUCUGUCUUCGGUAAUGGAAUGAUUUUCCCACCGUUCCCACUUUGGAUUUGAAAAGUCAGUUUCAUACCCCUUUUUCAUUUAUUACAUAUAUAUAAAAGAUCAAUACAGAAAACUCGGAAGAACAUCUCCCUGUGUUUUGCUGGAAUGUUGCAGAACAUUUAGCUAAAAGAGCGGCUUAACAAAACUUUUAGAAUCUAUCAUAUCUUUGUAAUAGUGAAAAAAUUGAAGAUGGAAUGACUAAUCAGUCACCGAGGUGACAUGUUUGAAAUCGUAACUUCAUUAACAGAACAUAUUUUAUCACUUGAAUUGGGUUCAACUGAUUCUGCAAUAAAACGUCCAACAUAAAGUGCAGGUUUCGCUGGUAGAGGAACUGUUAUGGUGUCGCUUCCUAACUGUUGGAAACUGGCCUGCAUGCAGCAUGUGAAUUUCCAACAUGUCAAGAAGCAACCCGAGCCAUGCAACACAUGCAGCAACAAAGGUGGAUAUGUAGCCCAUGCAGAUUCAAGCACGCAAGAACAAAUACACAUAAGUUACCCAGGUAAAGUAUGUGUAAGGAUUCAUACACAUAAGUUACCCGGGUAAAGUACGUGUAACUGAAUCUGUUUGUUUUGGUUCUUUUGUAACCAAGUCUAUGAAAUGUGUUCUAGUUCGUUUUGAACUUAGUUUAAGCCUACAUUUGAUGUAGUUUGAUGAUGUAGGAGCUGAUGACCAACUUUACUUAAGUGUACAAGUUUAGUUUUGUAAGUUCCAAUGUAAUAAGUGGAGUUAGGUAGUGUUUAGGUGAUGAAUUUGUUGAUCUUUUGACCAGCCAAUGACUGGUAUAUGUAAUGGCUUUAAGCCAAUAUUUCAAGUGAAUGAAAUCAUCAGAUUUUCUUCCAUAUGCUCCAUCUUUCUUUGCCUUCUAAAAACUUCUAAGUUCUGUUCUUCAUUCUUGACAGUAGCUAAAAGCUUGAACUCCAAGCAUUUUUCCUUCAUAUUUUAUCCGGGUAUAAUACGUUGCUGCUGGUGCUCUGUUUGAAAUUCUUACUUUACCUGGUUAAAGUGUGUUGAAACUCCAACACUAACAUUGCAACCACUGUUGACAUAGUUGGUCUGUCUGCCUGAUCUGAUUGCACGCACAAUAACCCAAUUUGGAUGCAUUUAAGCACCUCAUUGGGCACACUCGACUCAACAAGAUGUUUAUCCAUUAACUCCAUUCCUUUUUCUUUGGACCAUAGUUUCCAUGCCUACAAUUCUUACUUAGAAUUAGCUUAAUAUACAUAACAUGGUAUUAAUCUAUUAUUUAAAUAUUGAUAGGAUAAGAAAACAUACAAAAGUCAGGAGGCUUUCACUGCAUUCUGAAAGAUGAAACCCAUUAUUCCUUUUUCCACUUACAAUCUUCAACAAAAGGACACCGAAACUGAACAUCAGAUUUGACAGAAAAAAGUCCUUCCAUAGCAUACUCGGGUGCCAUGUAUCCACUAUUGUCAGAAACAAUGAAGAAAAACUAAAUCAAAAUUAGAUGAUCAUAAGAAACUUUACAAACAUGAACUGAUUUCCAAUGUAUAUCGAUCACAUAUCAGAUACUCUCAAUAACAAAACCAAGUUUUGUUUCUAAUCACUAACCAUGAAACAUACUAAGAUUCAUUACUUGCAUGGGGUCCUAGUUUAUAUGAUAUUGAUGUAGAGAACAUAUUUCUCAGAACUGAUCGAUGAAUAUGGAUAAGUUGAAAUUGGCAACAACUAAUGGUAGAGAAAAUAAGUAAAUGUAACCCUGUAAGCUUAUGAGUUAAUAAGUUGGGAAGAACCAAUUAAUAGACUUACUAUGUUCCGACUACUCUAUUUGUAUUUGCUUCAUUCUGAUCUCCACCAAAAAUUUUUGCCAUACCAAAGUCUGAAAUUUUUGGAUUCAUCUCAUGGUCAAGUAAAACAUGUUGAGCAUUGGCCUGCAAUGCAACAAACUUCCAGCAGCAGCAUGUCUGUUUGAAGAUUGAAUCAGAAGCAACUUUUUGUUUAAAUUUUGUAUUUUUUUUGUGAUGUUAACAAGUUGGCAAGUUGCUUGAUAUUUAAAGCUAGUACUUUUAGAUUUGAAAAUGAUGGAUGUAAUAGCUGAUUUAUUUUCAGAUUUUGACUUGUAUUAUUUUAGUUGGCAACUUGCCAAAUUUGGUGGGAGUAGUUACGUUUAGGUAACUGACUUGCUUUUGUAUCUCCUUUAUAUUUUGAAAUGGAAAUGGAAUGAAAGCUGAUGGGGGACUUUUCUCAUUCGGUUACUUACUGCUUCUCUUUGGAUUUUCAUUUUGUUCUUUUGUUUUGUUUUGCUUCCUGUUUUUCAUGAGCUUAUGCUCUUUGUUGUUCAUUGUUGCUGCUGCCUUUUUUCUAACAAAUGGUAAUCAGAGCCUCUUGUCUUUGAGGACCUAUGUUGUUUAAGUUUUUUUGUUUCAAAAUAAACUCAAAAAUCGUGUUUGUCAAACCAGUUUCAGCAACAUGAGCUUUGCACCUCCUCCACCACCAAUUUUUGCUGGAGAAAACUACCACAUUUGGGUAGUUAAAAUGAAAACUUACCUCCAAGCACUUGAUCUGUGGAGUGCAGUUGAAAAUGAUGUCGAGCCACCACCACUGAGAGCAAAUCCAACCAUUGCUCAGAUCAGGCAACAUGGUAAGGAGCGAGCCAAGAAGCAUAAAGCCAUGGCCUGCCUACAGAAUGGAGUGUCUGAUGUGAUUUUUACUCGCAUCAUGGCCUGUGACUCACCAAACAAGCUUGGGACAAGCUAAAAGAGGAGUUCAUGGGAUCAGACAAGACUAGGCAGCAACAAGUCAUCAACCUUAGAAGGGAGUUUGAAAAUUUGAAGAUGAAGGAGUUAGAAACUAUCAAGCAAUAUUCUGAUAGGAUUAUGGCUACUGUCAAUAAUAUUAGACUCCUUGGAGAAGAUUUCAGUGAUAGUAGGGUUGUUGAGAAGGUUAUUACCACCUUACCUGAAAGGUUUGAGUCAAAAAUCUCCUCAUUGGAGGACUCGAGAGAUCUCACAACCAUUUCCUUGUUUGAGUUGGUUAACUCACUCUAUGCACUUGAGCAGAGAAGAGCAAGUAGGCAGGAGGAGAGUCUUGAAGGUGUUUUUCAAGCAAAGGUCAGAGAAGGCUCCAGCUCAAGCCAGAAAGCUAAGAAGCCUUGGUUUGAAAAGAGGGAAAGAUCAAAGAAAGAUGCCGGUAGAAGGAGGUUUCCACCAUGUGUUCACUGCAAGAAGACUAAUCAUUUGGAGAAGUAUUACUGGACCAGACCAGACAUACAGUGCAAAAGCUGUAAGAAGUAUGGCCAUCAUGAGAAAAUCUGUAGAAGUCAUGAGAAGGCACAAGCACAGCCAGUACAAGCCAAGUCUGCCGAGGAUGUCCAAGCUCAGGAGGAGCAUGUAUUUACAGCUUCAUGUUUUGUAGCUAACAGCAAGAGCAGUUGGCUUGUGGAUAGUGACUGCUCACACCACAUGGCUGCAGAUGAGAGCCUUUUCAAGAACAUUGACAGGAGCUUUGUCUCGAAGGUCAAGAUAGGCAAUGGCAACUUGAUUGAAGCAAAAGGAAGAGGUGAUGUGGUGAUUCACACUGGUUCAGGUAACAAAAUCAUUUCUGAUGUGCUCUAUGUGCCAAAAAUAGACCAAAAUUUACUCAGUGUAGGCCAGCUAGUCAAGAAAGGCUUUUCACUAGUUUUCAAGAAUGAUUCUUGUGUUAUAAGUGAUGCUCAUGGUAGGGAGAUUGUCUCAGCACCUAUGGGAGACAAAUGUUUUAUGCUGGAUGUGAGUCAGCUUGAGAAAAGUGCCUAUACAAGCUCAGUUGACAAUACUGAUCUUUGGCACAAGAGGUUUGGCCAUGUUAACCUCAAAUCACUUGAUUUGCUGCACAAAAUGAACAUGACAGAGGACAUGGUGAAGGUUAGUGCAAGUGAAGGUGUUUGUGAAGUGUGUCAGCUUGGCAAGCAGGCCAGGUUGCCUUUUCCAGUAAACCAAGCAUGGAGGGCUCGAGAAAGACUUGAUUUGGUACACUCAGAUGUCUGUGGACCAAUGAAGACGCCUUCACUGAAUGGCAGUAAGUAUUUUAUACUGUUUAUUGAUGAUCUGACCAGAUUUUGCUGGGUUUAUUUCAUGAAACAGAAGUCAGAAGUGUUUGAAGUUUUUGGAAAGUUCAAGGCAUUGGCAGAAAAUCAAACAGGCUGCAGGAUUAAGGCCUUGAGGACAGACAAUGGUUCUGAAUACUUGUCUGAAAGAUUUCAGAAGCUAUAUGAGCAGGCUGGGAUUCAUCAUCAAUUGACCACAGUGUAUACUCCUCAGCAAAAUGGAGUAUCUGAGAGGAAGAACAGGACAGUGAUGAACAUGACCAGAUGUUUGUUGUUUCAAAGCAAGCUUCCAAGCAUUUUUUGGGCUGAAGGUGUCAACACCUCAGUGUACCUGCUCAAUAGGCUGCCAACACAUGCGGUGAAUGAUAAAACUCCUUUUGAAGCAUGGUAUGAUCUUAAACCAACUGUUUCCCAUUUAAAAGUAUUUGGUUGCAUGUGUUUUGUACUUGUCCCUGCAGAAAGAAGAACCAAGCUCGAGAAGAGGUCAGUUCCUGGUAUAUUUGUUGGCUACAGUAGCUGCAAGAAGGGCUACAGAGUAUUUGAUCCCUCAACCAAGAAGAUUUUGGUAAGCAGGGAUGUCAAAUUCGAUGAAGGAAGGUUUUGGAGUCUAGAUGGCUCUAACACAAGUUAGUUUGAAGAAGAGCAGAUUGACAACAAUCUGGAAUUGGCAGAAAAUGAAGUCAGUAAUGCCAAUGUAGAUGAUGCUCCUAUGAGAGGGACCAGGUCUAUUGCUGAUAUCUACCAAAGAUGCAAUGUGGCCAUUGUUGAGCCUUCAAGCUAUGAAGAAGCUGCAAGAAGCAAGAGCUGGAAGAAGGCUAUGGAGGCUGAAAUCGACAUGAUCCAUAAGAAUGACACUUGGGAUCUGGUAGACAGACUUGAUCAAAAGAAGGUCAUAGGUGUCAAGUGGGUUUUCAGGGCCAAGUUCAAUGUAGAUGGCUUUCUGAACAAGCACAAGGCAAGGCUUGUGGUGAAAGGGUACAAUCAACAGUUUGGCAUUGAUUUUGAGGAGACAUUUGCUCC